UAAAAACAGGGGCUGUGCCGUGUCGCGCGGUCGACGGUGACUUUCCGCUGCGGUUAAACUCGUUUAAACGUUUCAUUUACCGUGCUGUUUACCGGCAUCAUGUCUCACACCGUCAUCACCACGACAACAACCACCAGGACAUCCGGGGAGAGCGGCCUGAACCUGGGCUACACCCAGACCAUCCCGGGACUGCUCAAGAUCGGACAGCUGAUCUCCCUGCUCAUCGCCUUCCUGUGUGUGUUCUGCACUCGCGGCUGGCCCAGCUGGCCGGCCUUCCAGUACUUCGAGGUGGUGACGCUGUGGUUCCUCGUAGCCUUCCUCAUCUUCUUCCUCAUGCACCUGUGCAGGCUGCAGACGAGGAUGCCCUGCAUCAACUGGCCGCUGACGGAGUUCUUCCAUUACUCUGUGGGAUGCAUCCUCAUCCUCAUCGCCUCCAUCAUCGCCUCGGCGAAUAGCGGUGGAGUUUCAGCGCUGGUGGCCGGAUCGGUGUUUGGAUUCAUAGCGACGUUCCUGAUGGCCGUGAACUUGUGGACGUCUUACAGCGUGGCUUGUGGGCCUCAGUCUGCCAUGUAAAAAGCGUCCCGUCAUGAUGGAGUCAGAUGGCUGUGUUGGCAGUUUGCUGUGUCCUGGUUCUUCUCUGCCAAGCGACCACCUGGAUAAAUCGAUGUGAUCAUAACUCUUACUGCAGAGGAGCGCCGACGCAGCACCGGCUGGGCUGGACAGCAGUCAGUGUCAUUCUUUUACUUCCUCGUUAAAUCGGACCGCUGUGGUCACGUUUCCAUGGUAACGGUGCUCUGGGUCACAUUUGAACCAUCGAAUGAGGCGUGGGCUCUAAAGCGAUGGCGCCCUCACACUGCUGUGUGCCAUAAAUGAGCGUGUCCUCACGGUUUACAGCGCCCAUCCUUCUGCUCCUUUGAAACUUCCUCGAGCUCUGCAGAAGCAGUUUGGACCACAGAUGCAUUAAAAUUACAGCAGUUCUACUUUAAAAUAUUAGUGUUGAAAUAUUUUUAUCACUCAAACACGAGUUGCAUGCUAAUGUUGUUGUUAGCAUGCUAAAAAUUUACUCAGGGGCUGUAAAACAGCAGCAUGCUAACAAAUGAAACAGGUAAAACGUCGGCAUGCCAACAAAGCAAAAGAACAAAACAUCGUCAUUUUUGGCGAGUAAAGACACGUGGCAGAAAUCGUUAUUUCUUUGAUUGUCAGGAAGCCCGUGGGCGGAGUCUAACCUGCUGGAGGUUCAGUUUGUUUUAGCCAGCUGGGUCAUUUUUAAAGAUUCAAGGAAGCUGAAGACGCUGCAUGUAAACAGUGCAAACCACACGCAUGUAAACAGGUUGCAAGUUUUAAUGAUUGAAAAAAUCUCACAUUGAUUAUGUGGGUCAGUAAUGAUGUCAUUGUUCAUUUAUAUUACAAAACAAGCUGCAGAUAAAUAUAAGAACCAGUUUGACUCAUGGACACGCCCACUUACAUUAAAGACAAACGUCUCCAGCUGUUCUGCUUGAGAUGCUCGAAAACCCGACAAAUACAUCAGAAAACACGCGGUUCAGUUUGUGUCGCGUUAAAUCAGACCACAGCUGGGAGCCGUGUGUCCCGUAGACACAUGUACAGGAGAUAAACCUGAAUGUUUUUGUGUGUCGAGAGGUGUUCUGUGGGAAGCUCCAGUGUUUGAUGUCUGCUUGUGGGAUUUACUGACAAUAAGAGAAAUAAAGGCCAAAGCACAGCGUCUGUGUUAUGGAGGAAGAACAUGUAAUAUGUCAUUGACGUGGAUUCAAUCUGUAACUGAACAGUUUAGAGACGUUUCAGCAGGAACUGCAGAUUAUUGUAAUUACUCUUUUUGUUCAGCUGUCCUCGGUGCUUAAAAGAACCAAACUUUUAGCCAUUUGAAUUUAAAAUUCAGUCUGAAUUUUGUAUUUAAAAAGCACAUCUGUGAUUAUUUUAGAGGAUGCCAAAAGAGAGCGAUGUAUAAAUUAUAUCAGGAUUAAAAAUGAACUGUGUGGAAAUCUGUGCAGAUUAAUAAAUGUAAUGACAUGGAUUCAUUCAGAUUAUCCAAAUAUUCACGUGAUUAAUGAUCAAUGAUACUUCGUUCAGACGCGCUGAGAUGGAUUCAAAUGAACCAAAGAGAUUAAAAGUGUGUAUCUAUGGACAGACGAAGACAUAUUGUAGUAAAUAUUAAACAUCAUCCAUUUAAAAGUGUUUGGAUUUAUAAUUAUAUGUUGGAAGCUACAUUUUUGGAGAAUGUGUGUUUUCCAAAAGAAGUCAUUGCAACGCCACAUCAGUGAACGCACAGACGAGCUAACAAUGAAAAGAUGCUGUAAAUAUUCAAUGUGCUGCACUGAGCGCAGCGUGUUAGCCGUUUUACAAUCGUCCGACUGUUUAAGCACAAUCUCUGCGUACCUCUCCCAGCCCGUUCGUUCUGAUCAUAGUUAUUUAAUCUGUGCUUUCACUCAGUGACAGAAAACUUUUAUUAAUCUGCACACGGUGACGUCCACUCCCGCUAACUGCUAGCUCCGACCGCAUGCAGCACCUCUGGGCUGUCAGCUCUGCAAACAUCUCUGAUUGACUCAACGCUCAGUUGAACUUACGUGGAAAAUGAAGUCACACCUCUGAACCUAAAAACUUUAACGUGAACAAUCGUUACGAAUCGAGACAGAGACGCCAAAUGUGGCAGGUAGCCAACGUUAGCCGAGACGUUAGCUUACAGCUAAGUGAUUAUUAAAACAAAUUGAAGAGACAGAAUUAAGAGUUUGUUGAAAAUGGUUAAACCAUGCUUAUGUUUUCUGUUGACUGUGCAUUACUGAUACAUAGUUAACAUUUUAUUAAAUGGAAUUUAAUGAAGAGGUUAAUAUAGCAGCACUAGCUAACAAGCGUGACCUAGCAUGACUAUUGUUGAUGCCACGCCCAUUUUUUCUCGGCUGCACUGCCGAUCUGAUUGGACAGGAGGGGAGUUCAUGCUAACAUGUCAGUGUUCACAUGACAGCUGCUGCUUGUCUUAUUGGUCUUUAAUAACAAAGUGCCAUUUAUUGUUUGAUUGUUUUUAGCGAUUAAUCCCAGUUUACAGGUGUGCAGAUAAACUGCUGUGAACGUCUUGGAGGAAAAACACAUUUCCAGUUUUUCUGCUGCGUGUUCUUCAUAGAACCCAAACUGGUUUCGCUUUAAUUCUUAGAAUAAAAAGGCUCAAAGUUAGACCCUUUUCUGCCACCUGUCGUUAACAAACGAGUAAAACCAUUCGGUGUGUAACGAUAAUCCUGAGAUUACUGCCUUACUGUGCGAUGCUUCUGACUGUGCACUGAAUGUGUCUGAAAUUUCCUCUGAAGUAGCUCAGAGCACCAAAUGAAGGCCUGACCUCUAAUUGGAUUCAAACUGAAUGUUAAACUGUGGAAGGUUUACACAGUACUUUGUAGUACAUUUAAAUACCCGUUAGUGUCUGAUCCUGGAGCCUCUACACACUGUGUGACAUCGUAACGGGUUCCUGCUCGACUGGUCUGUGGGAACCGUCAGGAUGUUCUAGUUGGUGUAGGAACUUGAUGAAAGCAUGUGAGCUUUUUGUACGAAUGCUUUCAGCUUCAGACAACUUCAUAAACUAACUUUAAAAAGCAUAAUUAGGUUGUGGUGGCUUAGCGGUGCAGCGGUUUGAGCUUCAUGUUCUCCCUGUCUGGGUUUCCUCUCACAGUCCAAAGACGUAGGUGGGGUGACCUGUCCAGGGUACAAGCCCCGCCCACAGGGUUUCAGUAGUAAAACGUGCCACUGACUGAGACACUGAAUAAGAGCGGUCACUCAGCUCUUCGUUAUCUGAAGCUGGUCAUGAAGUCAUGUGACCCUGCAGGUAGAGACUGCGAGUUCCUCAUACAGUCACGGUCCUGUUUGAUAGGCUGCAGGGACUGACUUCACAACAGUGACAUCACAUCCUGCCUGCUCCCAGUGAGUCCGGUACGUCAGGGCCUGAACCCCUGAGGGUCGCACAGUGUGGAGGGGUUCCCGUCCCAUUAACGUCACGUGUCUCAUAAGCUUUAUUUCACGCUGUGAUGCUGUUCGUAAUGGUGCACCAUGCUCACUUGCUGUGCUCGCUGCCUCUUUGGUUUCCUGUCUGCACCAGCUUCAUUUGUAAGAGUUUGGUUUCUUAUGCACUGAUAAGCUUACUGCAGCAGGCCGUUACAUCAUCGUGUUAAAUCACAACACGUGAAAAGAUUUACAUUUGAGUUUUGUAUGUAUUUACUAUUUCUAUGGUUGAACUUUUACUAUGCUGUUUUUCCAGUUUGGGAUAAAAUUCAAACUUUUCUUGUUUCUGUUUCCUUGGACUUAUUUUUUUUACCCUAAAGCUGGGCUUUAAUUUUCCGUCUGGAUGUUUUGCGUGAAUCCAAAACGAAGGUGUUUGUCAGUCAGAGUGGGACAGCGAUGUGGUUUUCCUGAAGGCUAUUUGAAGGCGUUGCUGUGAGCGUUUACAGUUAUUUCCAUGCCUCGAGUACUCUGAUGGAUCCGGGCUCCACCAUAGACAAACCACACUGUUUACAUUAUUUAUUUUGGCUCCAGCUUGAUGAUGAUAUUCUCACUGAUGCAAAGUGACCUGAUGUAUGGCUGCGUGUCCACUGGGGGACAGAAACAUUCAUUAGACUGGCUAUGAAUCUGGACCGCUGAUAAUACAUUACUGCUCAUUACAUUUUUCACUGUCGGAGGGAAACGACUCGGUCUCCAGGUGAGAUUUGUUUGUACAAAUGUUCCAGUUUAGUGGAAAGCAGCCAAAGCUCGUAUGCAAUUGGGCAAGACUUGGAAGUCUUCUAGUUGUACAAGUCUUGACCCUGUUUUCUACACAUGCCACAGAUUCAUUUACAGCAGCACCAGGCUCAGGGAGGGGCGGGGCCAAUCACUGUGAUUGGUUGGUGAGAGAAGGAAGACAGGAUGAAGACAUGCU
Maylandia zebra (zebra mbuna) is the source of this 4903-nucleotide non-coding RNA. The record is from RefSeq and is a predicted model, not a curated record. Lineage: Eukaryota; Metazoa; Chordata; Actinopteri; Cichliformes; Cichlidae.